AGGCCAAUCAAACCGGGAGAUACUGGUUCUCCCCGAAAGCUAUUUAGGUAGCGCCUCGUGAACUCAUCUUCGGGGGUAGAGCACUGUUUCGACUAGGGGUCAUCCCGACUUACCAACUCGAUGCAAACUGCGAAUACCGAAGAAUGUUAUCACGGGAGACACACGGCGGGUGCUAACGUCCGUCGUGAAGAGGGAAACAACCCAGACCGCCAGCUAAGGUCCCAAAGUCAUGGUUAAGUGGGAAACGAAGUGGGAAGGCUCAGACAGCCAGGAUGUUGGCUUAGAAG
This 287-nucleotide ribosomal RNA is filed under the name Shigella sp. FC1967. RNAcentral's name for it is "partial 23S ribosomal RNA". It matches the Rfam family "Bacterial large subunit ribosomal RNA", at positions 826 to 1112 of the family's 2925-position model. The record is from RNAcentral. Lineage: Bacteria; Pseudomonadati; Pseudomonadota; Gammaproteobacteria; Enterobacterales; Enterobacteriaceae.